RNAcentral lists this ribosomal RNA (224 nucleotides) under uncultured bacterium. RNAcentral's name for it is "partial 16S ribosomal RNA". It matches the Rfam family "Bacterial small subunit ribosomal RNA", at positions 109 to 334 of the family's 1533-position model. The record is from RNAcentral.
AGUAACACGUAUCCAACCUGCCGUCUACUCUUGACAGCCUUCUGAAAGGAAGAUUAAUACAAGAUGGCAUCAUGAGUCCGCAUGUUCACAUGAUUAAAGGUAUUCCGGUAGACGAUGGGGAUGCGUUCCAUUAGAUAGUAGGCGGGGUAACGGCCCACCUAGUCUUCGAUGGAUAGGGGUUCUGAGAGGAAGGUCCCCCACAUUGGAACUGAGACACGGUCCAA